This 382-nucleotide ribosomal RNA is filed under the name uncultured marine Chaetocerotaceae. Its description in RNAcentral is "SSU rRNA". It matches the Rfam family "Eukaryotic small subunit ribosomal RNA", at positions 587 to 972 of the family's 1831-position model. The record is from RNAcentral. Lineage: Eukaryota; Bacillariophyta; Thalassiosirophyceae; Chaetocerotales; Chaetocerotaceae.
AGCUCUAAUAGCGUAUAUUAAAGUUGUUGCAGUUAAAAAGCUCGUAGUCGCAUUUCUGGCGAGAGGAUCCGGUCCGACCUUUUGGUGGGUUCUUGGGUCUCUUUCGCCAUCCUUGAGUGGUCCGUUCUGGCAUUAGGUUGUCGGAGCGUCAGCCGCUCAUCGUUUACUGUGAGAAAAUUAGAGUGUUCAAAGCAGGCUUAUGCCGUUGAAUAUAUUAGCAUGGAAUAAUAAGAUAGGACCUCGGUACUAUUUUGUUGGUUUGCGCACCAAGGUAAUGAUGAACAGGGACAGUUGGGGGUAUUUGUAUUUCGUUGUCAGAGGUGAAAUUCUUAGAUUUACGAAAGACAAACUACUGCGAAAGCAUUUACCAAGGAUGUUUUCA